RNAcentral lists this ribosomal RNA (484 nucleotides) under uncultured bacterium. RNAcentral's name for it is "partial 16S ribosomal RNA". It matches the Rfam family "Bacterial small subunit ribosomal RNA", at positions 30 to 507 of the family's 1533-position model. The record is from RNAcentral.
AUUGAACGCUGGCGGCAGGCCUAACACAUGCAAGUCGAGCGGAUGAAGGGAGCUUGCUCCUGGAUUCAGCGGCGGACGGGUGAGUAAUGCCUAGGAAUCUGCCUGGUAGUGGGGGAUAACGUCCGGAAACGGGCGCUAAUACCGCAUACGUCCUGAGGGAGAAAGUGGGGGAUCUUCGGACCUCACGCUAUCAGAUGAGCCUAGGUCGGAUUAGCUAGUUGGUGGGGUAAAGGCCUACCAAGGCGACGAUCCGUAACUGGUCUGAGAGGAUGAUCAGUCACACUGGAACUGAGACACGGUCCAGACUCCUACGGGAGGCAGCAGUGGGGAAUAUUGGACAAUGGGCGAAAGCCUGAUCCAGCCAUGCCGCGUGUGUGAAGAAGGUCUUCGGAUUGUAAAGCACUUUAGGUUGGGAGGAAGAGCAGUAAGUUAAUACCUUGCUGUUUUGACGUUACCAACAGAAUAAGCACCGGCUAACUUCGUG